RNAcentral lists this ribosomal RNA (465 nucleotides) under uncultured bacterium. RNAcentral's name for it is "partial 16S ribosomal RNA". It matches the Rfam family "Bacterial small subunit ribosomal RNA", at positions 28 to 507 of the family's 1533-position model. The record is from RNAcentral.
GACGAACGCUGGCGGCGUGCUUAACACAUGCAAGUCGAACGGAAAGGCCCCUUUGGGGGUACUCGAGUGGCGUACGGGUGAGUAACAUGUGAGUAACCUGCCCUUGACUUCGGGAUAACUUCAGGAAACUGGGGUUAUUACCGGAUAGGAAUCCUUGCUGCAUGGUGGGGGUUGGAAAGCUUCGUCGGUUUUGUAUGGACUUGCGGCCUAUCAGCUUGUUGGAGGGGUAGUGGUUUACAAAGGCUUUGACGGGUAGCCGGCCUUGGAGUGCGACCGUCAACAGUGGGACUGGGACUCAGCCCAGACUCCUACUGGAGGCAGCAGUAGGGGUUAGUGCACUAGGGGCGGGAGCCUGAUGCAGCAACAGCACGGGCGGGAGGACGGCCUUCGGGUUGGAAUCCUCAUUCAGCAGGGGCGGAGCUUGUGGUGACGGUACCGGCAGAAGAAGCACCGGCUAACUACGUG